This 202-nucleotide long non-coding RNA is filed under the name Mytilus galloprovincialis (Mediterranean mussel). The record is from RNAcentral. Lineage: Eukaryota; Metazoa; Mollusca; Bivalvia; Mytilida; Mytilidae.
AAAAAUGCCGGUAUUCAAACUAAUAUUUGAAGUUUAGAUAGUAUACAAAGCUUAGGCAGUGGAAUAAAACAUUCAUUUCCCUUGGCCUCGGGAAAUAUGAAGAUUUGUUCACCCUCGAAAUAUCAUAAUUCCCUCGGGCAGAGCCCUCGUGAAAUAUGAAUAUUCUUGGGUGAACAAAUCUUCAUAUCUCCCUCAGUCACGG